Molecule: long non-coding RNA, 727 nt
Filed under: Calidris pugnax (ruff)
Lineage: Eukaryota; Metazoa; Chordata; Aves; Charadriiformes; Scolopacidae
Description: lncRNA (ENSCPUG00000003354.1)
Source: RNAcentral
UGCUGUGCCUCACUCCUCCCCUAGCAGCCUCUUGCCACAACACUUAUCCAGAAAGUUACAAAACGAGGUUCACUUUUUUUCUUUCUUUUUUUCCCCAGGAAAGCGCUCCAGCUGCCUGGCAGGUGUUUCCCCUGGGGAGGAAGUGCUCUGACCGGAGAGGGAACACUGUAAAGUCUCAGAACAUCCAGGCUUUCUCCAAGCCUAGAUAUUUCAGUUUCAACAAGCUCUUUUGGUGGCACUAUCCAACCGUCCAACUUCUGUACAAGUUUCUAUGCCUUUGUGAGAAUAAGUGAAAGAUAAUAUCAAGUCCUUCCGGAGGUUCAGAGCCAGAAAGAACCAAUAAGAUCCACACUCCACAAGUCCUACAAUGACGGCGAUUAAACUCUGCAGCCGUGUGGCACACCAGGACUGCCCAUCUGCCGCCCAGAGCUGCUCCAUCGCUCCCUUUCACUAAAGGGACUUCAGGUGAAAACUGGGAGUAAGGCUGGACCACGCUGCUAAUUUUGUUUCUCAACAGUCUUCCCCCAAGAGUGCCUUGCUCCCUUUCCCGUGCCGUGGGUAGACAUGAGCCUGCCCCGUGAGCAGGCACCUGGGGCAGUGGGCAGGGGCUGUCGUGCCACCAGUGCGUGCCCGUGGACUGGGUGCACUGGGGUGGAUGGCCAGGGCUGGCAUCGAUGCCUCUUCUCUACAGCAGGACUGACUUGACGAACAGGCAGUUAGAAAAGGA